Molecule: non-coding RNA, 350 nt
Organism: Cinara cedri
Lineage: Eukaryota; Metazoa; Arthropoda; Insecta; Hemiptera; Aphididae
Source: the annotation of a GenBank genome assembly
CUUUAUUGAAAUGAAAUUUUAUUUAGUUGGUGCAUAGAGGGUAAUCGGAAUACCUAUUUAUACUUAUGUUCAAUACCUAUUUAACUAUUUUUCUAUUGUUUGGAUUUAUUGCUAAGUAGGUUUUAAAUUUGUUCCAUGCAACUAUCUUCUGUGCAGAUGGCGGCGGUUCAAAUACCAUGGGAUAAGACGAAAUAUUAAAUUAAUCGAAGAAAUUAAAUAUUUUAGUAGAAGAACUUACAUUUAUAAUAUUCUUAAUAAAAAAAACUAGCGUUCACAGAAUAUUUAUAUUAGCUUUUUGUAGACGCAGUAAAAUUUUCAAAACAUUCUAGCUAUUUUUAAGUUAUUUAUAG